UAGCACGAUUUUCGUAAGUGCCAUGAAAGACCAAAAAAAGAAUCUGGUUAACAUUAAUAGCAUUUUAUUAAUGUUGUUGUGAAAAACUUUGAGAGUGGGAAGGGAAAAUCAAUAAUACCGCUAUACUUGAAUGAAAAUUACACGAGCGCCAAAUAUAUUCCCUCGUUAAGAUAAUAAUUUCUUUACUUAGGUUAAAUGGAAAAAAAAAAUCAGUAUCACCACGAGACUUGAAAAAAAAAGAGACAACCAAGACCAAUACACUUUUACCUUCAAACAUCUGGGAAAAAAGCUCUCGAUAGAAACCAAACCCUAAGUACGACGGAUCUCCCCCGGUGCCGGUAGCCGUAACCGGUCUCGGAGGCCUCUCUUCCCCCUCCUCCCUCCACCGUCUCUACUUCUCUCUCAAACCCACUCCUCCCUCCACCGUCUCCUUCGCUUCCCCUCACUCCGCCGCUCUCUCCUCUACCGCCAUCAACCUCCUCGACUUCCUCCGUAGCCAUCCCGACGACUCCUCCGCCCUCCGCCUCUUCAAUUCCGCCUCCAAGCACCCCAACUUCUCCCCUGACCCUGCUCUCUACGACGAGAUCCUUCUCCGGCUAGGCCGCUCCGGCUCCUUCGAUUCGAUGAAGAAGAUCCUAUCCGACAUGAAGAAGACCUCCUCCUGCGAAAUGGAUUUGCAAAGAGGAAGUUAGAUGACUCAGUUUUCUUGGGAAAUCGGCUCCAGAUUUCAUAUGCUCCCGAGUUCGAGAGCCUCAGUGACACCAAGGAUAAGUUGGAAACAAGGAGGAAAGAAGUGCUUUCAAUAUCCAACCGUAAGCUUUUUUGCUUUCCCACCUCAGCUCAGAAAGCCAAGAGCAGCGUCUCACAAGUCACAAAACCAGCUUUGACCCAAAAGGAUAAUUUCUCACCACAAACGGUUAAAACUGUGAGGGAGAAACUCAACAAGUGCAAUGAAUAAACAGUUCGUCGCAGUUUGUGCAACACCAUCAGAUGUCGAGACUUCUUCCAAGGAUGAAUCACUUUUGAUUACGACUGUGGAAACCAGAAACAGCAACGAAGUCCUCGUUGAUAUAUUAAUCUUUAGUGUUCGUCUUGCUUUCUUGUUUGCGGUUUAUGUAGGUUUCUAACUUGCUACAAAUUCACUAAGUCCUCGUGUUCAGGGGCUAGAUUCUGAGCUUAGUGCUGACGGUGUUCUCUCAUAUGUUACGAAGUAAGAAUGCCUGCUGCUACGGGUGGGGUGGAGUACUGUCGGUGUCUACAGAAAUCUUGCUGCAACGUAAGAAAGGGUGCUAAGAACGGAUCAUUUGAUGUGGAGUAAGAACUGUAUCAUCUUCUCUUUUUUUUCUUUGCAAAUGAGACUUGUGUUCUUCUUUUGAGAUUUGUAACUUUAAAUUGUAUCUCCUUUGGAAUUAUGACAAAAAUGUUGUGUGGGAUAUUAUAUUUUUUAUUAUGGAAUACAAUUUCAUCUUCAUUA
Molecule: long non-coding RNA, 1474 nt
Organism: Raphanus sativus (radish)
Lineage: Eukaryota; Viridiplantae; Streptophyta; Magnoliopsida; Brassicales; Brassicaceae
Exons: 5
Source: RefSeq, a predicted model, not a curated record